This 352-nucleotide unclassified non-coding RNA is filed under the name soil metagenome. RNAcentral describes it as "partial contains 5.8S ribosomal RNA, internal transcribed spacer 2, and large subunit ribosomal RNA". The stretch from base 1 to 120 matches the Rfam family "5.8S ribosomal RNA", at positions 35 to 154 of the family's 154-position model. The record is from RNAcentral.
GAUGAAGAACGUAGCGAAAUGCGAUAAGUAAUGUGAAUUGCAGAAUUCAGUGAAUCAUCGAAUCUUUGAACGCACAUUGCGCCCGCCAGUAUUCUGGCGGGCAUGCCUGUUCGAGCGUCAUUACAACCCUCAGGCCCCCGGGCCUGGCGUUGGGGAUCGGCGGAAGCCCCUGCGGGCACAACGCCGUCCCCCAAAUACAGUGGCGGUCCCGCCGCAGCUUCCAUUGCGUAGUAGCUAACACCUCGCAACUGGAGAGCGGCGCGGCCACGCCGUAAAACACCCAACUUCUGAAUGUUGACCUCGAAUCAGGUAGGAAUACCCGCUGAACUUAAGCAUAUCAAUAAGCGGAGGA